This 882-nucleotide ribosomal RNA is filed under the name Ceratocombus (Xylonannus) sp. CW-2013k. RNAcentral's name for it is "bacterial SSU rRNA". It matches the Rfam family "Eukaryotic small subunit ribosomal RNA", at positions 455 to 1292 of the family's 1831-position model. The record is from RNAcentral. Lineage: Eukaryota; Metazoa; Arthropoda; Insecta; Hemiptera; Ceratocombidae.
CACGGAGAGGUAGUGACAAAAAAUAACGAUACGGGACUCAUCCGAGGCCCCGUAAUCGGAAUGAGUACACUUUAAAUCCUUUAACAAGUACCAAUUGGAGGGCAAGUCUUGGUGCCAGCAGCCGCGGUAAUUCCAGCUCCAAUAGCGUAUAUUAAAGUUGUUGCAGUUAAAAAGCUCGUAGUUGGUUCUGUGUGCCAAACUGUCGGUUUACCGCCUGUCGGUGUAACUGACACGUCGUGGGACGUCCUGCCGGUGGCAAUUACAGAUCUUGACGAUUUGCUAAUUGCCUUUAAUUCUCAUCGCGGUGCUCUUUAUUGAGUGUCGAGGUGAGCCGGCACGUUUACCUUGAACAAAUUAGAGUGCUCAAGGCAGGCCAAAUUCUGCUUGAAUAUUUGUGCAUGGAAUAAUGGAACAGGACCUUGGUUCUAUUUUGUUGGUUUUCAGAAUCCAAGGUAAUGAUCAAUAUGGACGGUCGGGGGCAUUCGUAUUGCGGCGUUAGAGGUGAAAUUCUUGGAUCGUCGCAAGACGAACUAGAGCGAAAGCAUUUGCCAAGUACGUCUUAAUUGAUCAAGAACGACAGUUAGAGGUUCGAAGGCGAUCAGAUACCGCCCUAGUUCUAACCAUAAACGAUGUCAGCCAGCGAUCCGUAGAGUUCUUUGAAUGACUCGACGGGCAGCUUCCGGGAAACCAAAGCUUUUGGGUUCCGGGGGAAGUAUGGUUGCAAAGCUGAAACUUAAAGGAAUUGACGGAAGGGCACCACCAGGAGUGGAGCCUGCGGCUUAAUUUGACUCAACACGGGAAACCUCACCAGGCCCAGACAUUGGAAGGAUUGACAGAUUGAUAGCUCUUUCUUGAUUCAGUGGGUAGUGGUGCAUGGCCGUU